ACUCCUACGGGAGGCAGCAGUGGGGAAUAUUGCACGAAAUGGGCGCAAGCCUGAUGCAGCCAUGCCGCGUGUGUGAAGAAGGGCCUUCGGGUUGAUAAAGCACUUUUCAGUCGAUGAGGAAGGUAGUGUAGUUAAUAGCUGCAUUAUUUGACGUUAGCGACAGAAGAAGCACCGGCUAACUCCGUGCCAGCAGCCGCGGUAAUACGGAGGGUGCGAGCGUUAAUCGGAAUU
RNAcentral lists this ribosomal RNA (231 nucleotides) under uncultured bacterium. RNAcentral describes it as "partial 16S ribosomal RNA". It matches the Rfam family "Bacterial small subunit ribosomal RNA", at positions 335 to 552 of the family's 1533-position model. The record is from RNAcentral.